This 254-nucleotide ribosomal RNA is filed under the name uncultured bacterium. Its description in RNAcentral is "partial 16S ribosomal RNA". It matches the Rfam family "Bacterial small subunit ribosomal RNA", at positions 335 to 604 of the family's 1533-position model. The record is from RNAcentral.
UGUCCUACGGGGCGCAGCAGUGGGGGAUAUUGCACAAUGGGGGAAACCCUGAUGCAGCGACGCCGCGUGGGCGAAGAAGUAUUUCGGUAUGUAAAGCCCUAUCAGCAGGGAAGAAGAAAUGACGGUACCUGAGUAAGAAGCACCGGCUAAAUACGUGCCAGCAGCCGCGGUAAUACGUAUGGCGCAAGCGUUAUCCGGAUUUACUGGGUGUAAAGGGUGCGCAGGCGGCACGGCAAGCCGGCGGUCAAAUCGCG